This is a long non-coding RNA of Humulus lupulus (European hop), 514 nucleotides long. RefSeq lists it as uncharacterized. The record is from RefSeq and is a predicted model, not a curated record. NCBI's taxonomy places the organism in Eukaryota, Viridiplantae, Streptophyta, Magnoliopsida, Rosales, Cannabaceae. The transcript is spliced from 3 exons.
CUCAAAUCUGAAUCCCUAAUCUCUCUCUAUCACAUUCGCUUUCUCUCUUUCUCUAUACUGAAAUCCAACUGAAGAACACCAUAAGCAGGCCUACUGAAUUCUUUAGUUUCUUGCCACUCUCUUCCGUUGAGUUGUUGAAGCACACACGACCACAACACUGCCGAAGCAAGAACCAGGAACUUCAGAGGCAGAUUGGCAUGAUGGAAGCCAAGUUAAGGCAAACAUUCCAAUUUCUCCCCCCCACUAAGCUCAGCAUAGUAGGAUUAACUCCUGCCACUCAGCGUAAAUCAUUCUCAAGCUCAUCAUAGGCUAAGCAAAUUAUUUCCUUGAAUCCUUUGUCUUUGAAGAAACAUGGUUGUGGUAGAAGCCCAAUACAUGCUUGUUUAGAGGAGGAGUUUUUGAAGGAUGUGAUGCAGUUUCUAAUGCUUCGAGGACAUACCCGACUUAUCCCUCAAAGUGGGAUUGCUGAGUUUUCGGAUGCCAUACUCAAUGGAAAGCAUCUUGACCUCUACAA